CAGUUUCCAGAAAACUCGGUUCAAUUCCUUCACCACGGACCCACCAACCAAGGAGCUGGCAAGACCCACCAGCCAACCAGGAGAACACAGACCCGCCGUUUCCUCUCCCUCGCCGGCCUCGGAGGAGAUUCCAGGCCCUGUAGAGACCAGGACGUUCCUUAGCGCCACCGCCCCACAUGCCAGUGCUGCCGGGAACCCAGCGAUAUCCGCACCAGCGGAGAAGGUUCCAGGCUGCCGGCGGCGGCGCGGAGAGCGGGAAGAGAGGAGCGGAGGAAGCCCCGGGCGUGGCGCGGUCAGGCUCCGAGAGCGGCCGGGAUGCGGCCACAUCGGCCUGGUAAACUCGUACCGCUUAGGAUCUUGCUCCCGAACUCAUUCCCUUCCCCACCCCCCAUUUUAAAGUUUUAUUUGGGUCGUCUGUGUCAAUUUAGAACGAGAUAAAUUAAGACAAAGAAAGUAAAAUAAAUCGAAAUAAAAUAAA
Molecule: non-coding RNA, 478 nt
Filed under: Pongo abelii (Sumatran orangutan)
Lineage: Eukaryota; Metazoa; Chordata; Mammalia; Primates; Hominidae
Source: RNAcentral